RNAcentral lists this ribosomal RNA (254 nucleotides) under uncultured bacterium. RNAcentral's name for it is "partial 16S ribosomal RNA". It matches the Rfam family "Bacterial small subunit ribosomal RNA", at positions 524 to 776 of the family's 1533-position model. The record is from RNAcentral.
UACGUAGGUGGCAAGCGUUGUCCGGAAUUAUUGGGCGUAAAGCGCGCGCAGGCGGCUUCUUAAGUCUGAUGUGAAAUCUCGGGGCCCAACCCCGAGCGGCCAUUGGAAACUGGGAAGCUUGAGUACAGAAGAGGAGAGGUGGAAUUCCACGUGUAGCGGUGAAAUGCGUAGAUAUGUGGAGGAACACCAGUGGCGAAGGCGACUCUCUGGUCUGUAACUGACGCUGAGGCGCGAAAGCGUGGGGAGCAAACAGG